AACGAACGCUGGCGGCAUGCCUAACACAUGCAAGUCGAACGAGACCUUCGGGUCUAGUGGCGCACGGGUGCGUAACGCGUGAGAACCUGCCCUUAGGUUCGGAAUAACUCCCCGAAAGGGGUGCUAAUACCGGAUAAUGUCUUCGGACCAAAGAUUUAUCGCCUUUGGAUGGGCCCGCGUUGGAUUAGCUAGUUGGUAGGGUAAAAGCCUACCAAGGCGACGAUCCAUAGCUGGUCUGAGAGGUUGAUCAGCCACACUGGGACUGAGACACGGCCCAGACUCCUACGGGAGGCAGCAGUGGGGAAUAUUGGACAAUGGGCGAAAGCCUGAUCCAGCAAUGCCGCGUGAGUGAUGAAGGCCUUAGGGUUGUAAAGCUCUUUUACCCGGGAUGAUAAUGACAGUACCGGGAGAAUAAGCUCCGGCUAACUCCGUG
RNAcentral lists this ribosomal RNA (433 nucleotides) under uncultured bacterium. Its description in RNAcentral is "partial 16S ribosomal RNA". It matches the Rfam family "Bacterial small subunit ribosomal RNA", at positions 29 to 507 of the family's 1533-position model. The record is from RNAcentral.